Molecule: long non-coding RNA, 994 nt
Organism: Talpa occidentalis (Iberian mole)
Lineage: Eukaryota; Metazoa; Chordata; Mammalia; Eulipotyphla; Talpidae
Exons: 4
Source: RefSeq, a predicted model, not a curated record
CCCACUGGGAGGGAACUGAUGCUGCUGGAUCAGAUGGGGUUAACAAUCCUUCCCUCAAGCUCUUGUUCUCGGAGCCUCAUAACUUGGCCUGAAUAUAAGCACUUGGCUCUUCAUGCAUUUUUUUUUUUUCCUUUUUCAAACAACUCUAAAAGGUUUUACAAGCAGGAUCCUUUUUUUUUUUUUUUUUUUUUUUUAAUUUUAAGAUGUUGAAAAGAAAUUUCAUGCUGCUGUUUGUUCCUUAAGGAAAUUGCUGGUGGGGGUGCAUGUUAAGGCAAGGGAGAAGAUGCAUUGCCGCAGAUGCACUUUUACAUUGCUUAACUGGGAACUGUUCUCAUGAAUACAGUCUGAAUGUUAAUAAGAGCAGGGUACUUUAGUCGUUCUCUGAAUGACCUUCAAAAAUUUACAGAUAUGGGAAGUAUCAUCCUUUUAUAUCAGAUCAUUUGUACGCAGAUUAAGACAGGUAGUGGUUCAUAGACUGUUGUAGCCCCCACGCAGUUCCCCUCUGGAACCCCCAUACAAUGAUUGGUCUACAACAAGGAUUGUAUUUUCCAGUGAAGUAAACUGGAGAUUACACCAAUCUAGCCCUGGGAAGAUGGAGUACAUGUUCCAAUCCUUCUCUUUCCCAGAGGAGAUGUAGUAGAGUUGAUGGGCCAGACAGACCUGAAUUUAACUGACAGUUCUGAUGCUUCCUGGCUGUGUGAUCUUGGAUCACCCCUCCUCCAGUCUCCAAAAGUUUCAAAUCUACUGGUGUGCUACUUGAAGAGGAUCAAGAGAGGAGGCAAAUAGGAAGAGUGAUAUGCAAGGAAUGACCAGGGCCAAAACCAAGACAACAACUGAAUGCUGUCACUAAAGCACAGCCUAUCAUCUCUUCUACAAAUGGUGCUGGGAAAAUUGGAAGGUCCAAUGUAAAGGAAUGAAUUUGAUCACUCUCCAACUCCAUGAACAAGAAUAAAUUUAAAAUGGAUAAAAGCCAUAGAUGUAAAAUCUGCAACAA